Molecule: ribosomal RNA, 500 nt
Filed under: uncultured bacterium
Lineage: Bacteria
Description: partial 16S ribosomal RNA
Rfam family: Bacterial small subunit ribosomal RNA
Source: RNAcentral
AUUGAACGCUGGCGGAAUGCUUUACACAUGCAAGUCGAACGGCAGCACGGACUUCGGUCUGGUGGCGAGUGGCGAACGGGUGAGUAAUGUAUCGGAACGUGCCCAGUCGUGGGGGAUAACGUAGUGAAGAUUACGCUAAUACCGCAUACGAUCGAUGGAUGAACGCGGGGGAUCGCAAGACCUCGCGCGAUUGGAGCGGCCGAUAUCAGAUAAGGUAGUUGGUGGGGUAAAGGCCCACCAAGCCAACGAUCUGUAGCUGGUCUGAGAGGACGACCAGCCACACUGGAACUGAGACACGGUCCAGACUCCUACGGGAGGCAGCAGUGGGGAAUUUUGGACAAUGGGCGAAAGCCUGAUCCAGCCAUUCCGCGUGCAGGAUGAAGGCCCUCGGGUUGUAAACUGCUUUUGUACAGAACGAAAAGGUUUCUACUAAUACUAGGAGCUCAUGACGGUACUGUAAGAAUAAGCACCGGCUAACUACGUGCCAGCCGCCGCGGUAA